AUGGCACUUUCAAGCUUGUCCCCUGGCUGUAGGUCAGCCCUCCUGCCCACCCCCUGUGGCCCACAGGCAUACAGGCUGUACAACUCCUCCCUGCCACAGGAUAGCUGUCCAGACCUCCAGCUGCCUUUUGCCAUGAAAAGGAGGGAUGUCCCCAGGAUUGAGCUGGCCAGUGAGGACGAAGUCUCCAUCUCCUGUUACGUGCCCACCGGCCUCUUCAGCCUGACUUUGUGCCUCUGGCACCAUGGCAUAUCCACAGGUCUUCUGGACACCAUGGAUAAUGAAGCAGGCACUGAUCUGAUGUUGCCGGAUGGCUCUGUGGCCCACAGCCUGGAGGAGCUCAGCCUGGCCUGGCAGGUGAGCAGGUGCACCUGUCCUUCUUCCCUCUGGCUGAGUCUCUUGAGGGCUGCUCACUGCAGAGUCCCAGGAGAAGCAGGUGGCCUGCUGGCUCUGCAGAGAUCUUUGCAGACCCAGGUUUGGGGGGAGUCUCCUGCUGAGGCCGAUGUACGUGGGGGAGCAACAUGGUCCAGCAGGAGGCCUGAGCCUUGCAUCUGUCCCACCAGGUGGAUGGUGACUGCAGGGCCACCGAGAAGACUCAGCCAACCUGCCCAGGACAGAGCCCCGCCUGUCGGGACUUCUUCCAGGAUCCCCCUCUAGCUUGGGGAACUGCAUCUGGGUGCUGCUCAUCCUGAUGUGCUCCCUAAUAAACACCUGAACACCAAGAUCUGUCUUAGAAUCUGUGUCCUGUGAACAAUUCCUACAAUACCAAGUGAAUUAUUCAAGUUCCUCCAGCCAACAAGGACAGAAGUGAAACAUAGAUUCAUCUUUCUGACCCUAG
This 835-nucleotide long non-coding RNA is filed under the name Callithrix jacchus (white-tufted-ear marmoset). RNAcentral's name for it is "lncRNA (ENSCJAG00000084762.1)". The record is from RNAcentral. Lineage: Eukaryota; Metazoa; Chordata; Mammalia; Primates; Cebidae.